This 93-nucleotide transfer RNA is filed under the name Gammaproteobacteria bacterium. RNAcentral describes it as "tRNA-Sec". It matches the Rfam family "Selenocysteine transfer RNA". Lineage: Bacteria; Pseudomonadati; Pseudomonadota; Gammaproteobacteria. The record is from RNAcentral.
GGAAGAGUAUCGUCCCCGGUGGGGCGCGCGGCCUUCAAAGCCGUUGAGGUGCGUAAUCGUGCCUGGUGGGUUCGACUCCUACCUCUUCCGCCA